Salmo salar (Atlantic salmon) is the source of this 2777-nucleotide RNA transcript. It is a transcript of the gene named CXXC-type zinc finger protein 5, with no coding region annotated. The record is from RefSeq and is a predicted model, not a curated record. Lineage: Eukaryota; Metazoa; Chordata; Actinopteri; Salmoniformes; Salmonidae.
AUGUGUUUGCAUGUUCUUCUCGGCGAGCGGGGAUGUAGGUGGGAUUGCGAGAAUCGAAAAGGUUGGAGAUCCCACACGCUCAGCUUCCGAGAAAGUACGUUUUACAAUCAUUUAUUAUUAUAUUUCCCUCUUGUUCUAUACAGGCGAGGACUAUAUUAAUUGAAUUGCUUUGGUGUAAGGUUUUUUUCUGUAUUUUUUUUUUUACAUCAAGCUCUACGGUAGGCUUGGAGACGGACGGCUUGGACAGUCGGAGCCCUCCCCUCCACUCGGAACCGCUUUGGUAGUUUGUAGGUUGCCAGUGAAAGGAUGUGGAUGAGGGCUGAGGUUUAGAGCGAGAGCCAAGGCUCUAGGGCCUGCCUGUGGUUGGCUGGCCGAUUCGCCCACAGCAGGGAGGCGCCACCUCACCUGGGCUCAGAGCAGACUGUGAGAACCUAUCGGCUCCCCCUCCUCUGCUCGCCCCCUGUCCCCCUCCCGCCCCGAUCCCCAGCCCUGCACGUACUGGACCAUGUCUAGCGGAAGCCGAGACCGGACAGCCGAGGCCCUGGAGCGGAACAGCUGCACGGAGGAUGUCCCUGUCAUUGAGCGCAGGAACCGCAGUGGCAUCAUCAGUGAGCCCCUGAGUAAGAGCCUUAAGAGGUCCCGCACCCUCUCCCAGUACACAGCCGCCUGCCCCACCAACACUAAUGGACACGCACACCACAAUGGAGAGGCCAAGAGCCACCCGGCCAAGCCCCAGCCACCCCCACAGCCCCAGCCCACCGUCUCAGCGCUUGCGGCAGCCAAGCUGGACCGCACCCUGGAGCAGGUCUUGGAGGGACAGAACGGCCUGCUGCACUUUGCCCAGGCGGCGGAGCUGCUAAAGAGGGCUGGGAUGGAGCACAUGCUGCUGCCGGGGGGCAUGGGGAUGGGGAUGGGGGGUAGCGAUUCAGGCUCAGGGGCAAGCGACUUGGAGGGUUCGUCUGCUGUGGACUCUGUUGGCGGUGUUGCGGACUUCCCGUACGGUGUUGGAGGCGGCUUCCCGUUCAACCCGGGGCUGUUCAUCAUGACACCGGCAGGAGUGUUCUUGGCCGACAGCGCGCUGCACAUGGCCGGCCUGGCCGAGUACCCGGCGCAGAGCGAGCUGGCCUCGGCCAUCAACUCCGGCAAAAAGAAGCGGAAACGCUGCGGCAUGUGCCCGCCCUGCCGCCGGCGGAUUAACUGCGAGACGUGCAGCAGCUGCCGGAACCGCAAAACGGGCCACCAGAUCUGCAAGUUCCGCAAAUGUGAGGAGCUGAAAAAGAAACCGUCUGCCGCUCUGGAGCGCAUCAGCAGUACAGCCAUAGCAGGGGGACUUGCUGUGAUGUUAACGGGACAAAUACGUACACCUGUUUAGCAUUUCCGCUUGGAAUAGCUUAGCAUGAAAUGAACUGUUGACCUCUCCUUCGGAUUGGGUGAUGCUUCCUACAGGAGCAGCAUUCCGAUGGUUCCAGUAAGACUCUGACCCUCCUCCACCCUUACCCCUACCUACCCACCCAAACCCAAAGCUCUGCGAUCAAGUGCAAUGCCAACUCUCGCUUGGAUUGUCUCGGCACGGACACUGGCUGACAAGCAAACAAACAACAAAAAUAUACAAAAAAACUAAACAGAAAUUAUACAAAAUAAUCAAUUGAGUAAUGGAUGCACCUGCUUAUUCCUUGAACCAAAAAUUUAACAUAAAGAAAAAUAUCUAUGGCAACUUUCAUUCCCUUUUCUAUGUUUCCAUUUUGGUACCUUUUGUCCUUUUUCCAGCAGGUUUUUUCUGUCGCUUAGACAUGGAACUGUUCAUUGCCAAACAGAAAUGACGGACUGAGUGUGGACAAUCAACUAAUUUGUGUGUUUGGUGUUAAUGUUGUUCACGUGUGGAAAGAUACAGUACUUGUGUAGAGAAUGUACAUUUACGGCUAUAUUUUAAAGCUAGUGGCUAAUGGCAGGCACUAUUGUAAUUUAGCACCAUUGUUCUUAAACUUAAACCCGUCUAUUUCAUGAUUUGUUUUGUUUUAAGAAUAUUGUUUUGAAACGGAUCAAUGGUUGUCUUUUAAAAGAAAAAGGAAAUAUUUCCAAAUGUAAAAAUACUUAUCGAAAUGAAAUAGCAACUGUUAUCCCAUCGGGCAGAAGUCUAGGGGACUCUUUAGCAGGAUGAUGCUAUCCUCCAGAGAACUGGAAUCUCUCCAACCAACAAACCAACCAACCGUGUUUUCCACGCCUGUAUUUCCAAGCUUUUUUAUUUUGUGAAACUGGCAGCCUUACGUUCCUGUGGCCCAAACUAGUGUGUGUCAUGAGGAUCCCAACACAGAGGGAGACAGCACUUCCAUUUGGAAUAGCACAGAGGGCGACAGCACUAGGAGACAGCACUUCCAUUUGGAAUAGCUUAGCUCUGGGUCUACCCAUUUGAACGCACUGAAACAAGAUUUCUUUAUGUUUUAUUUCAGUUUUUUUUUUUUUUUUUCAUUAUGUUGCUGGUAGCUACAUCUUUUAAAACAACAGCGAUGUUUGUAUUCAUUUAGAAAAUUGGACUGGUUUUGUGAAUAAAAACGAAUGCAUGUAUUUGUGUCAAAAUUUACAGUUCUGAUGUUUGUUUACUUGUCUUUGCAUGUUUUUUUUCUAAAACAAUGACGGAAUUUAGAAAAUUCUGAAGUAUGAAAAUGUUCGGUAACCUUAAACAUUUGUUCCCUUUUCAUAUCAUUGGAUAUAAUAAUAAAAAAAUGGAUGGGGUGAGAAAUACAACUCAUUAAAGCAGAAUCAGGAAAUGGUGAGUUUCA